AUUGAACGCUGGCGGCAUGCUUUACACAUGCAAGUCGAACGGUAACAGGCCGCAAGGUGCUGACGAGUGGCGAACGGGUGAGUAAUGCAUCGGAACGUGCCCAGUCGUGGGGGAUAACUACUCGAAAGAGUAGCUAAUACCGCAUACGAUCUAUGGAUGAAAGCGGGGGUCCGUAAGGCCUCGCGCGAUUGGAACGGCCGAUGUCAGAUUAGGUAGUUGGUGGGGUAAAGGCCCACCAAGCCAACGAUCUGUAGCUGGUCUGAGAGGACGACCAGCCCCACUGGGACUGAGACACGGCCCAGACUCCUACGGGAGGCAGCAGUGGGGAAUUUUGGACAAUGGGCGCAAGCCUGAUCCAGCAAUGCCGCGUGCAGGAAGAAGGCCUUCGGGUUGUAAACUGCUUUUGUACGGAACGAAACGGCUCUGGUUAAUACCCGGGGCUAAUGACGGUACCGUAAGAAUAAGCACCGGCUAAGUACGUG
RNAcentral lists this ribosomal RNA (482 nucleotides) under uncultured bacterium. RNAcentral describes it as "partial 16S ribosomal RNA". It matches the Rfam family "Bacterial small subunit ribosomal RNA", at positions 30 to 507 of the family's 1533-position model. The record is from RNAcentral.